UAAGCCUGUGAAGGUGGCCUGUGAGGGUUGCUGGAGGUAUCAGAAGUGCGAAUGCUGACAUAAGUAACGAUAAAGCGGGUGAAAAGCCCGCUCGCCGGAAGACCAAGGGUUCCUGUCCAACGUUAAUCGGGGCAGGGUGAGUCGACCCCUAAGGCGAGGCCGAAAGGCGUAGUCGAUGGGAAACGGGUUAAUAUUCCCGUACUUGGUGUUACUGCGAAGGGGGGACGGAGAAGGCUAUGUUGGCCGGGCGACGGUUGUCCCGGUUUA
This 267-nucleotide ribosomal RNA is filed under the name Salmonella enterica subsp. enterica serovar Muenchen. RNAcentral's name for it is "partial 23S ribosomal RNA". It matches the Rfam family "Bacterial large subunit ribosomal RNA", at positions 1243 to 1514 of the family's 2925-position model. The record is from RNAcentral. Lineage: Bacteria; Pseudomonadati; Pseudomonadota; Gammaproteobacteria; Enterobacterales; Enterobacteriaceae.